This 460-nucleotide ribosomal RNA is filed under the name uncultured bacterium. RNAcentral's name for it is "partial 16S ribosomal RNA". It matches the Rfam family "Bacterial small subunit ribosomal RNA", at positions 338 to 795 of the family's 1533-position model. The record is from RNAcentral.
CCUACGGGUGGCAGCAGUGAGGAAUAUUGGUCAAUGGACGAGAGUCUGAACCAGCCAAGUAGCGUGAAGGAUGACUGCCCUAUGGGUUGUAAACUUCUUUUAUAAAGGAAUAAAACGAGGCACAUGUGCCUUUUUGCAUGUACUUUAUGAAUAAGGAUCGACUAACUCCGUGCCAGCAGCCGCGGUAAUACGGAGGAUCCGAGCGUUAUCCGGAUUUAUUGGGUUUAAAGGGAGCGUAGAUGGGUUGUUAAGUCAGUUGUGAAAACUACGGGCUUAACUUGUAGACUGCAGGUGAAACUGGUUUUCUUGAGUGAAGUAGAGGUUGGCGGAAUGCCGAGUGUAGCGGUGAAAUGCGUAGAUAUUCGGAGGAACACCGGUGGCGAAGGCGGCCAACUGGGCUUUAACUGACGCUGAGGCUCGAAAGUGUGGGGAGCAAACAGGAUUAGAUACCCCUGUAGUC